This 492-nucleotide ribosomal RNA is filed under the name uncultured bacterium. Its description in RNAcentral is "partial 16S ribosomal RNA". It matches the Rfam family "Bacterial small subunit ribosomal RNA", at positions 29 to 507 of the family's 1533-position model. The record is from RNAcentral.
AGUGAACGCUGGCGGUAGGCCUAACACAUGCAAGUCGAACGGCAGCACAGUAAGAGCUUGCUCUUACGGGUGGCGAGUGGCGGACGGGUGAGGAAUACAUCGGAAUCUACUUUUUCGUGGGGGAUAACGUAGGGAAACUUACGCUAAUACCGCAUAUGACCUACGGGUGAAAGCAGGGGAUCUUCGGACCUUGCGCGAUUGAAUGAGCCGAUGUCGGAUUAGCUAGUUGGCGGGGUAAAGGCACACCAAGGCGACGAUCCGUAGCUGGUCUGAGAGGAUGAUCAGCCACACUGGAACUGAGACACGGUCCAGACUCCUACGGGAGGCAGCAGUGGGGAAUAUUGGACAAUGGGCGCAAGCCUGAUACAGCCAUACCGCGUGGGUUAUGAAGGCCUUCGGGUUGUAAAGCCCUGUUGUUGGGAAAGAAAAGCAGCAGGUUAAUACCCCGCUGUUCUGACGGUACCCAAAGAGUAAGCACCGGCUAACUUCGUG